Molecule: ribosomal RNA, 460 nt
Filed under: uncultured bacterium
Lineage: Bacteria
Description: partial 16S ribosomal RNA
Rfam family: Bacterial small subunit ribosomal RNA
Source: RNAcentral
CCUACGGGCGGCAUCAGUGAGGAAUAUUGGUCAAUGGACGAGAGUCUGAACCAGCCAAGUAGCGUGAAGGAUGACUGUCCUAUGGGUUGUAAACUUCUUUUAUAAAGGACUAAAACGAGGCACGUGUGCCUUUUUGCAUGUACUUUAUGAAUAAGGAUCGGCUAACUCCGUUCCAGCAGCCGCGGUAAUAAGGGGGCUCCGAGCGUUGUCCGGAUUUAUUGGGUUUAAAGGGAGCGUAGAUGGGUUGUUAAGUCAUUUGUGAAAGUUUUCGGCCCAACCGUAAAAUUGCAAUUGAUACUGGCAGUCUUGAGUACAGUUGAGGUAGGCGGAAUUCGUGGUGUAGCGGUGAAAUGCUUAGAUAUCACGAAGAACCCCGAUUGCGAAGGCAGCUUACUAAACUGUGACUGACACUGAUGCUCGAAAGUGUGGGUAUCAAACAGGAUUAGAUACCCUAGUAGUC